Marchantia paleacea is the source of this 82-nucleotide non-coding RNA. NCBI's taxonomy places the organism in Eukaryota, Viridiplantae, Streptophyta, Marchantiopsida, Marchantiales, Marchantiaceae. The record is from the annotation of a GenBank genome assembly.
UAUCUAUGCCUGUGUGGCCUAAUGGAUAAGGCGCUCGCCUCCGGAGCGUGAGAUUGUGGGUUCUGGACCCAUCGUGGUCGAU